Molecule: ribosomal RNA, 694 nt
Filed under: uncultured bacterium
Lineage: Bacteria
Description: partial 16S ribosomal RNA
Rfam family: Bacterial small subunit ribosomal RNA
Source: RNAcentral
AGAGUUUGAUCCUGGCUCAGGAUAAACGCUGGCGGCGUGCCUUACGCAUGCAAGUCGAGCGGGGGGCCUGCCUACGGGGAGGCCGCCCAGCGGCGGACGGGUGAGGAACACGUAAGCGACCUAGCCGGUGGUGGGGGAUACCCCCCCGAAAGGGGGGCUAAUACCGCAUGAGCUCGCGGGGGUGGGUCCCCGCGAGGAAAGGCCUACGGGCCGCGACCGGGGGGGCUUGCGUCCGAUUAGCUAGUUGGCGGGGUGACGGCCCACCAAGGCGACGAUCGGUAGCUGGCCUGAGAGGGUGGCCAGCCACACUGGGACUGAGACACGGCCCAGACUCCUACGGGAGGCAGCAGCGAGGGAUCUUGCGCAAUGGGCGACAGCCUGACGCAGCAACGCCGCGUGCGGGAGGAAGGCCUUCGGGUCGUAAACCGCUUUGGCGGGGGAAGAAGCCGACGGUACCCCGCAAAAAAGCCCCGGCUAACUACGUGCCAGCAGCCGCGGUAAGACGUAGGGGGCGAGCGUUGUCCGGAAUCACUGGGCGUAAAGGGCGCGCAGGCGGCCGGCCAAGUGCCCCGUGAAAGCCCCCGGCUCAACCGGGGGAGGCCGGGGUAGACUGGCCGGCUGGAGUGUCGCAGAGGCGGGUGGAAUUCCCGGUGGAGUGGUGAAAUGCGUAGAGAUCGGGAGGAACACCAGUGGC